GAUUUCAAAUUGUUUCCGCAAAGGACACGGGCUCCAUGUGCAUAUGGAGAUAGCUUUUAUAUGCUGCUGUUUGGAGCUAUUCAAAUUGGCUGUUCUCAGAUACGUGAAUGGUCUAAAUGGUGUGGAUUAUGGUCAAAUCUGUUUUGACAAUGUACGGAUCCCUUGAUAGAAAUUAUGAAAUUCGGUUGCUGAUGUAUCAGCAGACAGGCAUCAAACUGCAAUAACAUACUCAAUCAAGUAUUAGCUAAGCUAUUGACAUAAGGUAUUUAUUGACAAGCAAGGCCUUCUCUGUGCCACCAAAUGGGCCUCAAAUCCUAUUGCUCGAUUGGCUGAGUCAUCAAAAGAGG
Telopea speciosissima is the source of this 347-nucleotide long non-coding RNA. RefSeq lists it as uncharacterized. The transcript has 3 exons. The record is from RefSeq and is a predicted model, not a curated record. NCBI's taxonomy places the organism in Eukaryota, Viridiplantae, Streptophyta, Magnoliopsida, Proteales, Proteaceae.